GAAAGGACACAUUAAUGAGAGAGACAACAAAACAAGAGACCAGGUUGGGUGAGUGGAACUUCGCUAUUACUAUUGAUUUCACGUGGAAGGAGUUCAGAUACUACCGUGAUGGGCAGCAGUAUACAAGCCUAGGACGAAGCACCACAUGAAGUAAUACUAGUUGCAUUUCCCCGUCUUUAGAAUGAAAGGAUGAAAUGCCCACCCACUGGAACUCCAUUCAAUCUAUGGACUCCAGGGAAGCUGCACAGGGUGCAAGUAAACAUGAACUCUGGCCCAGCUCUGUGAAGAACAGAAUGAAGAACUAGCGCUGGGCAGCAGUACUGGACAUU
Molecule: long non-coding RNA, 329 nt
Organism: Mauremys reevesii (Reeves's turtle)
Lineage: Eukaryota; Metazoa; Chordata; Testudines; Geoemydidae
Exons: 3
Source: RefSeq, a predicted model, not a curated record